UACAGAGGGUGCGAGCGUUAAUCGGAAUUACUGGGCGUAAAGGGCGCGUAGGCGGUAAGUUAAGUUAUAUGUGAAAUCCCUGGGCUUAACCUAGGAACUGCAUGUGAUACUGGCUUGCUAGAGUGCUGUAGAGGAUAGUGGAAUUUCCGGUGUAGCGGUGAAAUGCGUAGAUAUCGGAAGGAACACCAGUGGCGAAGGCGGCUAUCUGGACAGACACUGACGCUGAGGCGCGAAAGCGUGGGGAUCAAACAGG
Molecule: ribosomal RNA, 253 nt
Filed under: uncultured bacterium
Lineage: Bacteria
Description: partial 16S ribosomal RNA
Rfam family: Bacterial small subunit ribosomal RNA
Source: RNAcentral